Molecule: long non-coding RNA, 228 nt
Filed under: Setaria italica (foxtail millet)
Lineage: Eukaryota; Viridiplantae; Streptophyta; Magnoliopsida; Poales; Poaceae
Description: long non-coding RNA (SITA_LNC007219)
Source: RNAcentral
UCGCUUGCGACACCUCUGCACUUGUCCUUGAUACCAUGAUAGCGUGGAUGCAUCCUCCUACGCGCCUUGUGCAAGCGAACAAACCGCUGGUAGUGCGGGGGGAUCAGAUCAGUGGCGCCUGGUGGUAGUAAUGAUGGGCGAGCAAGUGGGACGCAGGUAGCCGGGACAGCUCGCUGUCCCGAGCUCGCAGAUGAUUACGGCAGUAAGCACAGGGUGAUGGGCGCAAUC